RNAcentral lists this ribosomal RNA (482 nucleotides) under uncultured bacterium. Its description in RNAcentral is "partial 16S ribosomal RNA". It matches the Rfam family "Bacterial small subunit ribosomal RNA", at positions 30 to 507 of the family's 1533-position model. The record is from RNAcentral.
AUUGAACGCUGGCGGCAUGCCUUACACAUGCAAGUCGAACGGUAACAGGUCUUCGGACGCUGACGAGUGGCGCACGGGUGAGUAAUGCAUCGGAACGUGCCCAGUCGUGGGGGAUAACUGCUCGAAAGAGCAGCUAAUACCGCAUACGACCUGAGGGUGAAAGCGGGGGACCGUAAGGCCUCGCGCGAUUGGAGCGGCCGAUGUCAGAUUAGCUAGUUGGUGGGGUAAAGGCCUACCAAGGCAACGAUCUGUAGUUGGUCUGAGAGGACGACCAGCCACACUGGGACUGAGACACGGCCCAGACUCCUACGGGAGGCAGCAGUGGGGAAUUUUGGACAAUGGGCGCAAGCCUGAUCCAGCAAUGCCGCGUGCAGGAAGAAGGCCUUCGGGUUGUAAACUGCUUUUGUCAGGGAAGAAAUCUUCUGGGCUAAUACCCCGGGAGGAUGACGGUACCUGAAGAAUAAGCACCGGCUAACUACGUG